Molecule: ribosomal RNA, 402 nt
Filed under: uncultured bacterium
Lineage: Bacteria
Description: bacterial SSU rRNA
Rfam family: Bacterial small subunit ribosomal RNA
Source: RNAcentral
UGGGGAAUAUUGGACAAUGGGCGAAAGCCUGAUCCAGCCAUGCCGCGUGAGUGAUGAAGGCCCUAGGGUUGUAAAGCUCUUUUGUGCGGGAAGAUAAUGACGGUACCGCAAGAAUAAGCCCCGGCUAACUUCGUGCCAGCAGCCGCGGUAAUACGAAGGGGGCUAGCGUUGCUCGGAAUCACUGGGCGUAAAGGGUGCGUAGGCGGGUUUCUAAGUCAGAGGUGAAAGCCUGGAGCUCAACUCCAGAACUGCCUUUGAUACUGGAAGUCUUGAUUUCGGGAGAGGUGAGUGGAACAGCGAGUGUAAAGGUGAAAUUCGUAGAUAUUCGCAAUAACACCAGUGGCGAAGGCGGCUCACUGGCCCGUUACUGACGCUGAGGCACGAAAGCGUGGGGAGCAAACA